UCGAACGGUAACAGGUUAAGCUGACGAGUGGCGAACGGGUGAGUAAUGCAUCGGAACGUGCCCGAUCGUGGGGGAUAACGCAGCGAAAGCUGCGCUAAUACCGCAUACGAUCUGAGGAUGAAAGCGGGGGACCGUAAGGCCUCGCGCGAUCGGAGCGGCCGAUGUCAGAUUAGGUAGUUGGUGGGGUAAAGGCUCACCAAGCCAACGAUCUGUAGCUGGUCUGAGAGGACGACCAGCCACACUGGGACUGAGACACGGCCCAGACUCCUACGGGAGGCAGCAGUGGGGAAUUUUGGACAAUGGGCGAAAGCCUGAUCCAGCAAUGCCGCGUGCAGGAAGAAGGCCUUCGGGUUGUAAACUGCUUUUGUACGGAGCGAAAAGGCUCUCUCUAAUACAGGGGGCUCAUGACGGUACCGUAAGAAUAAGCACCGGCUAACUACGUGCCAGCAGCCGCGGUAAUACGUAGGGUGCAAGCGUUAAUCGGAAUUACUGGGCGUAAAGCGUGCGCAGGCGGUUUUGUAAGACAGGCGUGAAAUCCCCGGGCUCAACCUGGGAAUGGCGCUUGUGACUGCAAAGCUGGAGUGCGGCAGAGGGGGAUGGAAUUCCGCGUGUAGCAGUGAAAUGCGCAGAUAUGCGGAGGAACACCGAUGGCGAAGGCAAUCCCCUGGGCCUGCACUGACGCUCAUGCACGAAAGCGUGG
Molecule: ribosomal RNA, 700 nt
Filed under: uncultured Hydrogenophaga sp.
Lineage: Bacteria; Pseudomonadati; Pseudomonadota; Betaproteobacteria; Burkholderiales; Comamonadaceae
Description: bacterial SSU rRNA
Rfam family: Bacterial small subunit ribosomal RNA
Source: RNAcentral